This 253-nucleotide ribosomal RNA is filed under the name uncultured bacterium. Its description in RNAcentral is "partial 16S ribosomal RNA". It matches the Rfam family "Bacterial small subunit ribosomal RNA", at positions 524 to 776 of the family's 1533-position model. The record is from RNAcentral.
AACGUAGGAGGCAAGCGUUAUCCGGAGUUACUGGGCGUAAAGCGCGUGCAGGUGGUUGAGUAAGUGGGGCGUGAAAUCUCCGGGCUAAACUCGGAGGGGACGAACUAUACUGCUGGACUAGAGUGGAGUAGAGGGACGCAGAAUUCGGGGUGUAGCGGUGAAAUGUGCAGAGAUCCCGAGGAAUACCAGAGGUGAAAACGGCGUCCUGGGCUCUAACUGACACUGAGACGCGAAAGCGUGGGGAGCGAACGGG